CGGAAGUAGCGCUAUUGAGUCUUUUUGUGGAACAUCAUUGUCUUUUAAAUCCAAGUACGUCCACGCACGAGAUCCGGUUCCGACUCAGUGCCCUGAACACCGAAGUACAUGUGUUCUUUCAAUCGAGAUGGAGGACGAUAACCGUCACGAUAAGGACAAGGCCGCUAAUCCUGGUAUUUUCCCAGCGGGGGAACCUGGGCAGAGUGACCGGCGUCUCGAAGAGCUUUCAGUAGACUUUCCGGUGUCGGUGGUUCUUCCUGCCGGGGGUACCGGAGAGAGAACGGGGCUGACCACACCGAAACAGUUUUGCUCGUUGUCGGGCAGACCGCUCAUUAGCUACACCAUUCAAGCCUUCGAGAGAGUGUCAUGGAUCCAGAGCGUUGUGGUUGUUGUUGCCAAAGAAAGCAUGGACCUGAUGGCAGAUUUUAUUCAGAGGUUUCAGCACAGGAAGGUUCGAGUGGUGCCGGGGGGUACCACUCGCCACAGGUCUAUCUGGAAUGGAAUCCUAGCUUUGGGUGAGGUAGAGGGCUUCCUUCCAAACAGUGUCAGACCAAAGGUGGUCAUCAUCCAUGAUGCUGUAAGGCCUUUCGUGGAGGAGGAUUUUCUCAUCAAGAUAGCCAGGGCUGCCAAAGAACACGGGGCGGCUGGAGCGAUCAGACCUCUGGUUUCUACGGUGAUUGCCACUACUUCAGAGGGAUUCCUGGAUCACUCUCUGGAGCGAGCCAAGUACAGAGCCAGUGAGAUGCCCCAAGGCUUUACCUAUGACAUCAUCUGUCAGGCCUACCAGAGGUCCUCCGAGUACGACUUUGACUUUGGGACAGAGUGUCUCCAUCUGGCUCUGCAAUACUGUGGCACCAGUGCUAAACUGAUAGAAGGGCCUCCUUCACUGUGGAAGGUGACCUACAAACGGGAUUUAGCCGCAGCGGAAUCAAUUGUAAAAGACGCUCUGUCAAAGUCAACGUGUGUCGUCACAGGUGGGUCGGCGGCGGCUGAGUCGUUUGCUGGAGACCUUCAGAAGACAACAGAACUGAACAUGGAGGUUCACGUGGUCCCAGAUCUUAACAGAGACAACAGCAGCAAAGUGCUGAAGGAAUUCAACUUCAUCCUGGUUUCUGUGAACUCUUUUGACCUGUCUGCGCUCAAGUCCACACUGAAAGAUCUGGAAGCCUCAAACCAAGCUGUUCUUCACCCUCUGGUCGUUAUUUGGGUGUAUUUGACCACUUCAGAUGAGCCAUCAUGCAUCAGUAGAACCACAGCUGAGGUCAAGGCGUUUACAGAUGUGGCUUCAGAAGCUAAACUAAGAAAUACUCUCAUCUACGGUCUUCAGCUUCCUCGGACUCAGGAUAGUGAGUGUUGGCGGAGGUCGGUCCUGAAAUUCGCUGAGAUCACUUCAGCGCUCGUCCGGGAGAGAAGCUUCGCCUUAGUGGGACAACUUCUGCAGGUUUGAAGAGAGGGGGCAGCAGCAGCAGCAGAAACAAAAUGGAUUCUUCUUCUUCUAUGGGGUUGUGAUGGUAAUCCCAGCAUCCAUCUGAUGAGAGUAGGAGGGCGACAUUGUUCUGCUUUUAUUCCUUCUCAUCCACCUCACCCGCUGUUUUCCAGUUCGGACGCUGUGCUGGGAUUUUGAUUUUGCAACGCAGCCAAUUGUACUCCGACACUCUGAUGUGGUCGUCGAAGUGUUUCCUGUGGAAAGUGCCGAGAGGAUGAGAAGAAGAAGAAGAACGAAUAAACAGCUUAGGAUUAGCUGCAGUGUUAAAACUGUCGUCCGUGAUAGUCAUGGAAUCACACAAGAAUGUAAUUGGCCGUUGUGGAUCUGACCCGACCUCCGCUCCAGCUCCGUCCUCCGCUGGUUUCCGUCCUUAAAUGUCUGUCCGAAACCACAAGCCUUCAGCGGACCCUGCACUUUCCAUAGAUCUGUGCGUUCUCUUUUUUCUUCCUAACGUCUUCAUUACUCCGCUCUUUUUUUUUUGUUGUUGGGUGUAACAGGAUACCACACUGACCACCACUGAGGUCAUUUCCUCCGUAUGAAAAACAGAUAUUGUGCCUUUCGCCGCAGUAGAAAAAAGGGCAGCGCUAUUUGCCAGAUUGGAGCCCUGAGCUGCCAGAUUGGGGACCAGGCUAAUCUAAUUACAGACUAUAGAGAAAGAGGCCCCGAGGGGCCCCCGUUCAGGACGGGGUGACGGUUGAGGAGCGUGGACUGCUUCUCCCUCCUGAUUUUUUUUUUUUUUUAAACUACGCACCGCAAAAUACAAUGUGGUAAUGUCUGCGGGCUUAAUUCUUCCGGAGAGCGAGAGAGAGAAGUAGAGAGAGGAAGAAAGAUAGUGGGAGGAUGAUUUAUGUCCUGUUGUGAAGACGCAGAAAAUAAAUCCAGCGACUCAGUGCGCACGUAGGGAAACAGGCCGUAAAGUAAGGGAGCGGGGAUCAAUUCUCAACCGUCUUAUUUUUCCCCCCCGUCUGAAAAAAACCCUCAAAUGAGCUCAAAUCUCCUCCCAUGUCAAAACUAAUCUCUUUGUUUUAUAUCUGCAGCGUGUUUUUACGAUACAGGUCCCGCUCUCCAGAGGGGGGGGGGCGGGGCCGCACGGGGGCUCCCGUCACGACAGUGUAGGUUCAAGGGAUGGUUGAGAGGUUAAAGCAGAGGAGCAAGACUAAGAGGAGGCCCAAAAAUCACCUAUGGCCAGUAACUCCGCCCCCCUCCUCCCCCCAGUACUGAGCAGAACACCACCAGGUAGGAGAAGACCACACAGCAGCUCCUCCACCAGGCUGUGGCUGGAAUACACACAGUAGUCAAUGAGUACAAUCACAGUUACAUUUUCAGAACCUGAGGAUAACCUUAUGACCCCGACCCUCUCCAGUUUUUAUUAAUA
RNA transcript from Cynoglossus semilaevis (tongue sole), 2861 nucleotides. It is a transcript of the gene named CDP-L-ribitol pyrophosphorylase A, with no coding region annotated. The record is from RefSeq and is a predicted model, not a curated record. The transcript is spliced from 14 exons. NCBI's taxonomy places the organism in Eukaryota, Metazoa, Chordata, Actinopteri, Pleuronectiformes, Cynoglossidae.